This 301-nucleotide ribosomal RNA is filed under the name uncultured bacterium. Its description in RNAcentral is "partial 16S ribosomal RNA". It matches the Rfam family "Bacterial small subunit ribosomal RNA", at positions 509 to 807 of the family's 1533-position model. The record is from RNAcentral.
CAGCAGCCGCGGGAAUACGGAGGGUGCAAGCGUUAAUCGGAAUUACUGGGCGUAAAGCGCACGCAGGCGGUCUGACAAGUCAGAUGUGAAAUCCCCGGGCUUAACCUGGGAACUGCAUUUGAAACUGUCAGGCUGGAGUCUUGUAGAGGGGGGUAGAAUUCCAGGUGAAGCGGUGAAAUGCGUAGAGAUCUGGAGGAAUACCGGUGGCGAAGGCGGCCCCCUGGACAAAGACUGACGCUCAGGUGCGAAAGCGUGGGGAGCAAACAGGAUUAGAUACCCCUGUAGUCCCUGUCUCUUAUAC